GGAAACUUUUCCCCCUUGACAGCAUAUCAAUCAUUUGUAAUGUCCUAGCUACUCUUUUAAUUACAAGUGGAAUUAGAUUAAAAAAACAAAAAAAAAAAAAAGAUAGAAAAAAAAAGUGAUGAAUAAUUGAGAGUACUUGUGGAUUUCACAAAAUGUGUCAAUAAAAAUUAGCGAAACAUGGUCUAAUGUAAUAAUGCUAACUACUCUACUCAUUCCCCAUCUUCUGCCGAAUGAUCACUGCUGCUGUAAAAAUUUCCAUUAUUGCUAGUAAGUAAAUAAAUUUGGAAAUUCAAUGCCCAAUUUUUUAUCCUCCCAUCUGUAUUUCACAUAAAGCUACAGUUGUACAUUAAUACUAAUGAUGUUUCAACUUGACAUGUAACGGUAACGGAAUCAACAUAUUAAUCUUCUAUUUCAAAAUACUCGUUGUUGUAUGUAAUAGCAUCAAGUUCCAUAUUUUGCCAGUCCUUCAAACACACCAUACAUUCAAACAUUUCUGAUGUUAGUAAAUUCCUUCGUUCUUCGAGUAUUUUGUUCCGGGCACGCAAAUCAGAUGCUGAUGCUUGCGUUGACACUGGGAGUGUUAAUAGAUCGCGUGCCAUAAUGGAAAGUAUUGGGUAUUUCCAUUCAUGCAAUUUCCACCAGUUUAGAACACCUAAAUUCAAGUCUUCAUGAGCAAUAUUAGUUUCGAGAUAAGUAGAUAAUUCGUUGGUCGAAGAAUUAGAUCUUAAACUAUGAAUUUCCUUAAGCAACAACAUAAAUUUAUCUUCACCUUCAUAAGUAAAGUCACGAUGAUUCAUAUUUUUAUAUUUAGUAGCAUAAUUACUAUACAUUUCAUGCGAAAGGCUACUUACAUCAUCAAUCUUUAUUUUUGACUCGGUAUUUAAAUUUUUUGAAAUUUGAUUAAGAUAAUAUUCUAGAGUUGAUAAUUUAAUACGAGGAUCCAUCACGAUAGACAAUGCAAAUAAUAUAGGUAUAUCUUCCCAAUAUUUUAAGAAUUUCUUUUCCAUAGUAUCACAAAUAUGGGCAAUACUUUCAUUAUUUCUAUAUUCAGAGAAUGAUUUUGAAAUGUUAUAGAAAUGAAGAAUAAUACUGUGAGGGGAUGAAUAUUUAAUAGUAACAUGAAAACAAAGCAUAAAUUUCAUAAAAGUAAAAGCAAUAUUCCAGUCGUCAUCACUUAGAAAAUAUUGACUCUGUUUUUUAUGAUAAAAAGCCGUGAUGGCACCACGAUAAUCUUUACAAGAUUGUAACAUAAGAUAUGUGGAAUUCCAUCUAGGAUUCAUAUCAUCAUCAACAAAUCUUCUAUUUUUCAAAUUAAAAGAUUCACAUAUUUCACCAAAUUCUUUUUGGCGUGAUUGAGAAGACGAUAUAAACUUAAGAGCCAUUCUAAUAUUACGCACAUGUGUUUCAACUAGUGCAAGUCCAUCUCGAGCAAUUGAACUUAUAAUAUUAAAAAAAUGACUCACGUGAAAUAAUUUAGCAUCGAAUGGAGGCUUUAACGAUUUAAUAAGCAUCUCAAUCACAUCAUCGUACGCAGAUACAUUAUCAAAAGCAAGUGAAAAUAUUUUAUUUAACACUCCAAAUUCAUUAAAAAUCUCCAUCAAAUAUUUAAAAAUACGGUCAGUUUUAAGCGGAUUUUUUAACAUCCUAACCGCGAUAAUUCUUUUUUGCAUAGUCCAAUUGGAAUCAAUGUAAUGAGCAGUAACGCAAAUGUAACAUUUAUAGUUACUUCCGGUGAAUAAAUCACAAGCAAUAGAAAUAUUACCUUUAUAAUUACUGAGUUCCAGCUUUAGAUUUUCUCGCAUUUCAUUAAAAAGUUUGGAACAAUAAGAUUUACGAGUAUCGCUCGAGAAUUUUCUUAAGCAACGAUUCGUGUACCUUUGCAUAUGAACAUCGAAGUGGAUACCUUUUGAAAGUUGAAAGGGUAAUCUGUUCGCAACUACGAAACUCGAUAAUCCUUCUCUCGUUUUAUCUUGGGUGCCCCGAAUCGGUCGAGCAGAACUUGAAUUGAAUGAAUCAGAGUCAUCAUCAGAAUGUGUGUUGUCUUUGGAAGAUCUCGGAUCCAUAUUAUGGAUAUGGAAUAGUAAAUUAAAUUUGCUGUAAAAACAAAUUGAUGCAAUACUUUUGAACUUUUUACAGUAUUGAAAGUGGAGAGAAG
Molecule: long non-coding RNA, 2155 nt
Filed under: Olea europaea subsp. europaea
Lineage: Eukaryota; Viridiplantae; Streptophyta; Magnoliopsida; Lamiales; Oleaceae
Source: RNAcentral